CGCCCCCUAUACGUCAUCAUUGAGUAAACUUUGACCCGGAACCUCACAGUCAGCAGACACUUCCUGGGAGGGAGGGUCUGCUGCUGAUUGGGUGGAAUGUGUCUGCUGGCUGUGAGGUUCCGGGUCAAAGUUUACUCAAUGAUGACGUAUAGGGGGCG
This 158-nucleotide microRNA precursor is filed under the name Pelobates cultripes (western spadefoot toad). The record is from RNAcentral. Lineage: Eukaryota; Metazoa; Chordata; Amphibia; Anura; Pelobatidae.